Molecule: transfer RNA, 72 nt
Filed under: Danionella cerebrum
Lineage: Eukaryota; Metazoa; Chordata; Actinopteri; Cypriniformes; Danionidae
Description: tRNA-Pro
Source: RNAcentral
GGCUCGUUGGUCUAUGGGUAUGAUUCUCGCUUAGGGUGUGAUAGGUCUCGGGUUUAAUUCCCGGACGAGCCC